AUUUCACAAUAAAACUUCAUUUCAGACCUCUGUAACAUAGUUUGGUGGUUACCAGAAAAUGAAGUCUCAGCAAAUCAACUGCCAAGCCAUUACGUCAGAGUCUGUCUGAUGGUACAGAUCCCUGACAAUGAGAAGAGACCAGAGAGAAUCACAGUCCAGGCUAACAAGAUGAUGAGGUGUUAGAUAAUAUAGAAGAUGACAGACAACGGGCCAACUACAGCUGCCUGGAAUCUGCACUAUUUACUGUAUGGCAGUUAUGGUCAAGACUGGUCAUCAUCCUCUACUUCUAUUUCAAAGAACUCACCAGCUUCAGGUGGUACCCACAACAUUGUUCCUCCACAUGAAGAUGAUUUCCUUCCCGUUUUGAUUCCAUGUAGAAAGACUGGAGACGUUUAUUACAAGUUCUCAUCAGUUAAAUGUAAAGACACAAGAGAUUGGACAGCUACCAAGUGGGAUAAUGUUAACUCUUACAGUACAGAAAAGCUGAUAACCUUAAUCCUAAUAAUUUUCUGGAUCUUCACUUCCUAAAUUCAAUUGUUUUGUUAAUGUCAUCUUUUUUAGUUAAAGAAUUGAGUUUGAGUUUAAAAACACUACAAGGAACUUGGUGUCUGAUGGUAAUUAGAUGAUGAUAAUUAUCAAGUGUACAAAAUAGCAGUAUCGUGUCAUAGCCUGACCUUAUAACCUUCCUAUGAUAGACUUUCUAAUAUUUAAUUUGGUCCCAACAGGCAAGACCUCGAAAACAACAAUUAAUUAACACAAAAUGGCAAAGUCCUUUCUUGUCCCUUCAGGGAGGAGAUGUACAUGUACAUCACUCCACAAUCCUCAGGGGGCCACAAUCAGCCAACAGUCUCUAGUUCCAUAGUGAAUCCAAACUUCUCAGAAAGUCUAAGCAACUAUUAUCAUAACAGCUGGCCUUUGUAAGAUUGAAACCAAUUAUCUAGCCAUAUGAAAACAAUGCACUUAAAUUAAUUUUCAAACGAAAUUGAAAAUGUCACCUAAGGUGACCUUUCUAGAGAGGUGUUUAUACAAAUGAGGUUACUUUUUUACACAGGUACCUACCACACAGUGGUGUCGAUACUCAUUAUAGAGAAGUGACCUGUUUUAUAGAAAGUAUCAGCUCUCUGUUCUCCACAUGCCUUUAUAAAAUAAACAUGACAAUUACAAACAAAUAUCUGAUACACUUGACUUUUAUUGACAUUUACUUAACCUCUAAAGCAAAAAUUCAUUGCAGACCUUAAUCCACAGGUUUAGUUUUUUGGGUGACCAUUAUAACAGUCUGCUAUUCAAUUAAGACCUUUAUAAACAGGUGACCUCUAUAGACAGAUGAUAUCUACAGACAAGUAUUUGUAAUACAAGUAACCGUUACAGGUCUCUGUAAUACAAGUAUGACCUCUAUAGACAGGUGACCUCUAUAGACAGAUAAUAUCUACAGACAAGUAUUGGUAAUACAAGUAAUCGUUACAGGUCUCUGUAAUACAAGUAUGACCUCUAAAGACAGGUGACCUCUAUAGACAGAUGAUAUCUAGAGACAAGUAUUGGUAAUACAGGUAACCAUUACAGGUCUCUGUAAUACAAGUAUGACCUCUAAAGACAGGUGACCUGUAUGGAUAUAUCUGUGAUACAGAUCAAAGUUCACGCUAAAAAAGUGCUUGUUAUCCAAACCAAGGUAUAUUUAACAAAAUUAUUUCAUACAAUACUCAAAUUACAAACAGCAUACAAAGAGAAUUUGUUUAAAGAAAGCAUGAUUUAAACAGGAAUUUGACAUUACACAAGAUGACAAUGUUACAUUAAGUGAGAUGUACAUGUGACAACUGAACAUUUUUACCAUUCAGUAAUAUCAAAGGAGUGUUACAAGUAAAACCAUUUUUGACAUAACCACAACAAGUUUGAAAAUAAUAUAUAUUGCCUUUCAAUUGUUUGAAACAAAUAAUAAAUACCAUUGCAUUAA
Long non-coding RNA from Ylistrum balloti, 1948 nucleotides. RefSeq lists it as uncharacterized. NCBI's taxonomy places the organism in Eukaryota, Metazoa, Mollusca, Bivalvia, Pectinida, Pectinidae. The transcript has 4 exons. The record is from RefSeq and is a predicted model, not a curated record.